Molecule: long non-coding RNA, 447 nt
Organism: Piliocolobus tephrosceles (Ugandan red Colobus)
Lineage: Eukaryota; Metazoa; Chordata; Mammalia; Primates; Cercopithecidae
Exons: 6
Source: RefSeq, a predicted model, not a curated record
CCAGUGAUGAAUCUGAUUUUUAUGAGGCUGUGGCUGCUCCAAAAUCAGAAUCCGCUACUGUAGAGCCUGGCAAGCUGGAUGUGGGAGCCACGGAGGGCCACGACCUGCAGCACAUCAGCAGGCAAAAGAUGCCCACAGGCUCCCCUGAGGAUAGCCUGAGUGUAAAAUCUCCACCACCAAGUGAGGAAGACAAUGAUGAUGCCCAGUUUGUCCUGAGGAUGGCCUGGUUUUAAGAGGCUCACCACAACACAGAGAUGAAGCAGAAGAAAAGAAGAUGAUGAUGAUGCUAAGGAUGCCCACGUAACAGCUUGGAGCGACAACGACUUGACGCUGGAGAGUAUUAGUGACGAGGAGAUUGAUCCAGCUUAAAGGGAGCUCCCGGGGUGAGUGACGGAGGCGGGAUCGGACCCUGGCAGUCUGACGGCAACACCUGUGUUCCUCUGCACU